UGGGGAAUAUUGGACAAUGGGCGAAAGCCUGAUCCAGCCAUGCCGCGUGUGUGAAGAAGGUCUUCGGAUUGUAAAGCACUUUAAGUUGGGAGGAAGGGCAUUGACCUAAUACGUUAGUGUUUUGACGUUACCGACAGAAUAAGCACCGGCUAACUCUGUGCCAGCAGCCGCGGUAAUACAGAGGGUGCAAGCGUUAAUCGGAAUUACUGGGCGUAAAGCGCGCGUAGGUGGUUUGUUAAGUUGGAUGUGAAAUCCCCGGGCUCAACCUGGGAACUGCAUUCAAAACUGACUGACUAGAGUAUGGUAGAGGGUGGUGGAAUUUCCUGUGUAGCGGUGAAAUGCGUAGAUAUAGGAAGGAACACCAGUGGCGAAGGCGACCACCUGGACUAAUACUGACACUGAGGUGCGAAAGCGUGGGGAGCAAACA
RNAcentral lists this ribosomal RNA (427 nucleotides) under uncultured bacterium. RNAcentral describes it as "partial 16S ribosomal RNA". It matches the Rfam family "Bacterial small subunit ribosomal RNA", at positions 355 to 774 of the family's 1533-position model. The record is from RNAcentral.